RNAcentral lists this unclassified non-coding RNA (307 nucleotides) under plant metagenome. RNAcentral's name for it is "partial contains 5.8S ribosomal RNA, internal transcribed spacer 2, and large subunit ribosomal RNA". The stretch from base 1 to 105 matches the Rfam family "5.8S ribosomal RNA", at positions 50 to 154 of the family's 154-position model. The record is from RNAcentral.
GAAAUGCGAUAAGUAAUGUGAAUUGCAGAGUUUUGUGAAUCAUCGAAUCUUUGAACGCACAUUGCGCCCCUUGGUAUUCCAUGGGGCAUGCCUGUUCGAGCGUCAUUUCAACCCUCAAGCACUGCUUGGUGUUGGGCGUUUGUCCCGCCUACGCGCGUGGACUCGCCUCAAAGUCAUUGGCAGCUGUUCCCCUUCGGCUCGUAAGCGCAGCACAGUCGGCGCCCGGAGCUCUGGUGGGAUGGCGUCCAGCAAGCUAUAUUUUCAGGCUUGACCUCGGAUCAGGUAGGGAUACCCGCUGAACUUAAGC